RNAcentral lists this non-coding RNA (1650 nucleotides) under Saccharomyces x bayanus. RNAcentral's name for it is "Saccharomyces bayanus small subunit ribosomal RNA". It matches the Rfam family "Bacterial small subunit ribosomal RNA". Lineage: Eukaryota; Fungi; Ascomycota; Saccharomycetes; Saccharomycetales; Saccharomycetaceae. The record is from RNAcentral.
UAAAUAAAAUAAAUAAGAAUAUGAUGUUGGUUCAGAUUAAGCGCUAAAUAAGGACAUGACACAUGCGAAUCAUACGUUUAUUAUUAAUAAGAUAAUAAAUAUGUGGUGUAAACGUGAGUAAUUUAUUCGGAAUUAAUGAACUAUAGAUUAAGCUAAAUACUUAAUAAUAAAAUAUAUAAAAUAUAUAUAAUAAUAUAAAAGAAUAUUAAUAAUAUUAAUAUUUAUCUAUAGUCAAGCCAAUAAUGGUUUAGGUAGUAGGUUUAAUAAAAGUGAACCUAGCCAACGAUCCAUAAUCGAUAAUGAAAGUUAGAACGAUCACGUUGACUCUGAAAUAUAGUCAAUAUCUAUAUGAUACAGCAGUGAGGAAUAUUGGACAAUGAUCGAAAGAUUGAUCCAGUUACUUAUUAGGAUGAUAUAUAAAUAAUUAUAAAAUUUUAUUAUAAAGAUUAUAAUAAUAAUAUAUAUAAAUUGAUUAAAAAUAAAAUCCAUAAAUAAUUAAAAUAAUGAUAUUAAUUACUAUAUAUAAUAUAUAUAGAUAUAUAAAGAUAUAAUUAAUAUAAUAAUAUGUAAAAAUAAUAUUAUAUUUAUAUGUUUUAUUGUAUAUUUUAAUAGUCCUGACAAAUAUUUGUGCCAGCAGUCGCGGUAACACAAAGAGGGCGAGCGUUAAUCACAAUGGUUUAAAGGAUCCGUAGGAUGAAUUAUUUAAUAAUUUAGAGUUAAUAGAUUUAAUUAAAGAAUUAUAAUAGUAAAGAUGAAAUAAUAAUAAUAAUUAUAAGACUAAUAUAUGUGAAAAUAUUAAUUAACUAUUAACUGACAUUGAGGGAUUAAAACUAGAGUAGCGAAACGGAUUCGAUACCCGUGUAGUUCUAGUAGUAAACUAUGAAUACAAUUAUAAAUCUAAAAAUUAGAUUAAUAAUAAAUGAAAAUGUAAGUAUUCCACCUGAAGAGUACGUUAGCAAUAAUGAAACUCAAAACAAUAGACGGUUACAGACUUAAGCAGUGGAGCAUGUUAUUUAAUUCGAUAAUCCACGACUAAUCUUACCAUAUUUUGAAUAUUAUAAUAAUUAAUUUAAUUAUUAUAUUACAGGCGUUACAUUGUUGUCUUUAGUUCGUGCUGCAAAGUUUUAGAUUAAGUUCAUAAACGAACAAAACUCCAUAUAUAUAAUCUUAAUUAUAUAUAAUUUUUAUAUUAUUUAUUAAUAUAAAGAAAGGAAUUAAGACAAAUCAUAAUGAUCCUUAUAAUAUGGGUAAUAGACGUGCUAUAAUAAAAUGAUAAUAAAAUUAUAUAAAAUAUAUCUAAUAAUAUAUUUAAUUAAUAAUAUAAAACAUUUUAACUUUUAAUAUAUUUAUAUAUUAUAUAUUAAUAUGAAUUAUAAUCUGAAAUUCGAUUAUAUGAAAAAAGAAUUGCUAGUAAUACGUAAUACGUAAAUUAGUAUGUUACGGUGAAUAUUCUAACUGUUUCGCACUAAUCACUCAUCACGCGUUGAAACAUCUUAUUAUCCUAUUAUAUAAUAUAAUUUAAUAAAUAUUUAAUGAUUAUUUAUUAUUAUUAUAUUUAUAUCCGAAAUAAUAUGAAUUAAUGCGAAGUUGAAAUACAGUUACCGUAGGGGAACCUGCGGUGGGCUUAUAAAUAUCUUAAAUAUUCUUCCA